RNAcentral lists this ribosomal RNA (495 nucleotides) under uncultured bacterium. RNAcentral describes it as "bacterial SSU rRNA". It matches the Rfam family "Bacterial small subunit ribosomal RNA", at positions 773 to 1260 of the family's 1533-position model. The record is from RNAcentral.
AGGGAAUAGAUACCCGGGUAGUCCUGGCAGUAAACGGUGCACGUUUGGUGUGGGAGGAUUCGACCCCUUCCGCGCCGGAGCUAAACGCGUUAAAAACGUGCCGCCUGGGGAGUACGGUCGCAAGAUUAAAACUCAAAGAAAUUGACGGGGCCCGCACAAGCGGUGGAGUAUGUGGCUUAAUUCGAUGCAACGCGAAGAACCUUACCAGGCCUUGACAUGCAUUUCUAAGUUGGUGAAAGCCAGCGAGUCCCGAAAGGGACAACUUGCACAGGUGCUGCAUGGCUGUCGUCAGCUCGUGUCGUGAGAUGUUGGGUUAAGUCCCGCAACGAGCGCAACCCUGUGAACUGUUGCCACCGGUCGCAAGACCGAGCACUCUGUUCAGACUGCCCUGGUGAAACGGGGAGGAAGGUGGGACGACGUCAAGUCAGUAUGGCCCUUACGGCCUGGGCUGCACACGUACUACAAUGCCCAGUACAGAACGAUCCGAGACCGCGA